AGUGUGCGAUCCAUUCCCCACAGGCACACUCUCAAAUCCCAUUUUAAUCCUUUGGUUUUAUUAACACUGGAGUCCCUGCAUCUGGCAUCAAGGGAGGGAGAACCUUCUGGAUUGGGGUCCAGUUUAAUGCUUUGAAAAAGAUCAGCCCCCAUCUCUUCCCACAUGAGCUACCAGAGGCAUGGAGCUACGGGAACAACUCUCCAGCUGCUUGUUCCUUGCUAUACUCCUAGCAACAAUUCCCUUUUCAGAUAAAAGUAUUGUCCAUAAAACACAUCUCUGCAGCACAGAAUCCCUGGGGGAGAUACUGACACCUGCACAAAAUCCCUGCUGAAAAAAUGGUUGAGGUUAACUUAUCCCUAGAAGACAAGAUUCUCAUUGGCACGAUUGUGGUCCUCAUUGUUAUCAUCAUUAUCAUCUUAAGUUAUUAUUGUUCAAGUAGGAAAAUCUUCCUUUUACAUUUUUAAGCUUUCUUCCUAUUUACAAUAUAA
Molecule: long non-coding RNA, 488 nt
Filed under: Gopherus agassizii (Agassiz's desert tortoise)
Lineage: Eukaryota; Metazoa; Chordata; Testudines; Testudinidae
Description: lncRNA (ENSGAGG00000013083.1)
Source: RNAcentral